AAAAGCUGCAUUAAAACAAAGACAAAAUUAGAAACCAAAGCAAGACAAAACGAAAUAAUAAAGCAUAAGUAAUCCCGCAGAAAUAACGUAUAUAAUUAUGUAAACAUAAGAAACAUAAAUACAGUCGCAUGAAAUAGUAACAAGCAGUAACUACCAUACUAACACCAUAAAGGGACAUAAGCUAAAACACUAGUCAACUAUUUGUAACCCUACUAUCCCACACCCAACCCCGGGUGAGGCGUACGAAGGACUCUAUGAGCCCCUAGCCUACAACCCUGAUUCUAGACCACCAGACUCCCCUAAAAAGGGUCAUGUCCUCGGUAACCUGCAUUCUAGUCAUGUCCUGCCUAAUCACUCCCCAAUGCUUCUUAGGCCUCCCUCUACCUCGCCGACCUCCAACAAUCUCCAGCUGCUCGCAGCUCCUCACCGGGGCAUCGGGACCCCUCC
Molecule: long non-coding RNA, 447 nt
Filed under: Nicotiana benthamiana
Lineage: Eukaryota; Viridiplantae; Streptophyta; Magnoliopsida; Solanales; Solanaceae
Description: long non-coding RNA (NBEN_LNC022347)
Source: RNAcentral